AUACGGAGGGUGCAAGCGUUACUCGGAAUCACUGGGCGUAAAGCGCGCGCAGGCGGCUAUUUAAGUUGGAUGUGAAAGCCUACGGCUCAACCGUAGAACUGCAUCCAAAACUAUUUAGCUAGAGCGUGGGAGAGGAAGAUGGAAUUAGUUGUGUAGGGGUAAAAUCCGUAGAGAUAACUAGGAAUACCAAAAGCGAAGGCAAUCUUCUGGAACACUACUGACGCUGAGGCGCGAAAGCGUGGGGAGCAAACAGGAUUAGAUACCCUAGUAGUCC
RNAcentral lists this ribosomal RNA (274 nucleotides) under uncultured bacterium. RNAcentral describes it as "partial 16S ribosomal RNA". It matches the Rfam family "Bacterial small subunit ribosomal RNA", at positions 523 to 796 of the family's 1533-position model. The record is from RNAcentral.